This 464-nucleotide ribosomal RNA is filed under the name uncultured bacterium. Its description in RNAcentral is "bacterial SSU rRNA". It matches the Rfam family "Bacterial small subunit ribosomal RNA", at positions 331 to 793 of the family's 1533-position model. The record is from RNAcentral.
CCAGACUCCUACGGGAGGCAGCAGUGAGGAAUAUUGGUCAAUGGACGCAAGUCUGAACCAGCCAUGCCGCGUGCAGGAAGACGGCUCUAUGAGUUGUAAACUGCUUUUGUACGAGGGUAAAUGCAGGUACGUGUAUCUGUUUGAAAGUAUCGUACGAAUAAGGAUCGGCUAACUCCGUGCCAGCAGCCGCGGUAAUACGGAGGAUGCGAGCGUUAUCCGGAUUUAUUGGGUUUAAAGGGUGCGUAGGCGGGCAUUUAAGCCGGCGGUCAAAUGUCGGGGCUCAACCCCGGCCUGCCGUCGGAACUGGGUGCCUUGAGUGGGCGAGAAGUAUGCGGAAUGCGUGGUGUAGCGGUGAAAUGCAUAGAUAUCACGCAGAACCCCGAUUGCGAAGGCAGCAUACCGGCGCCCUACUGACGCUGAGGCACGAAAGUGCGGGUAUCGAACAGGAUUAGAUACCCCUGUAA